GACGAACGCUGGCGGCGUGCUUAACACAUGCAAGUCGAACGCUGAAGCACCAGCUUGCUGGUGUGGAUGAGUGGCGAACGGGUGAGUAAUACGUGAGUAACCUGCCCUUGACUCUGGGAUAAGCCCGGGAAACUGGGUCUAAUACUGGAUGCUACAUGUCACCGCAUGGUGGUGUGUGGAAAGGGUUUACUGGUCUUGGAUGGGCUCACGGCAUAUCAGCGUGUUGGUGAGGUAAUGGCUAACCAACGCGACGACGGGUAGCCGGCCUGAGAGGGUGACAGGCCACACUGGGACUGAGAGACGGCCCAGACUGCUACGGGAGGCAGCAGUGGGAAAUAUUGCACAAGGGGCGAAAGCCUGAUGCAGAGACGCCGCGUGAGGGAUGACGGCCUUCGGGUUGUAAACCGCUUUCAGCAGGGAAGAAGCCACAAGUGACGGUACCUGCAGAAGAAGCGCCGGCUAACUACGUG
This 470-nucleotide ribosomal RNA is filed under the name uncultured bacterium. RNAcentral describes it as "partial 16S ribosomal RNA". It matches the Rfam family "Bacterial small subunit ribosomal RNA", at positions 28 to 507 of the family's 1533-position model. The record is from RNAcentral.